Molecule: ribosomal RNA, 468 nt
Filed under: uncultured bacterium
Lineage: Bacteria
Description: partial 16S ribosomal RNA
Rfam family: Bacterial small subunit ribosomal RNA
Source: RNAcentral
GACGAACGCUGGCGGCGUGCUUAACACAUGCAAGUCGAACGGUAAGGCCCUGCUUUUGUGGUGUGCUCGAGUGGCGAACGGGUGAGUAACACGUGAGUAACCUGCCCUUUACUUUGGGAUAACUUCAGGAAACUGGAGCGAAUACCGGAUAUGAGCUCGGGUGGCAUGUUUGGGGUUGUAAAGUUUCGGCGGUUGGGGACGAACUGGCGGCUCUGCAGCUUGUUGGUGGGUUAGUGGCUUACCAAGGCGUUGACGGGUAGCCGGCCUGCGAGGGUGACCGGCCACAUUGGGACUGGGGAAGGAGCCAGAGUCAUACGGGAGGAAGCAGUGGAGAAUAUUGCACAAUGGGCGGAAGCCGGAUGGAGGAACGCCGCGUGGGGGAUGACGGUCUUCGGGUUGGAACGCGCUUGCGCCUGGGACGAAGCGUGUGUGACGGUAAUGGGUAAAGAAGCAACGGCUAACUACGUG